This 789-nucleotide ribosomal RNA is filed under the name uncultured archaeon. RNAcentral describes it as "bacterial SSU rRNA". It matches the Rfam family "Archaeal small subunit ribosomal RNA", at positions 88 to 879 of the family's 1478-position model. The record is from RNAcentral.
GCUCAGUAACACGUGGAGAACGUGCCCUUAAGUGGAGGAUAAUCUCGGGAAAUUGAGGAUAAUACUCCAUAGAUCAUGGGAUCUGGAAUGACCCAUGGUUCAAAGUUCCGGCGCUUAAGGAUCGCUCUGCGGCCUAUCAGGUAGUAGUGGGUGUAAAGUACCCCCUAGCCUACGACGGGUAUGGGCCUUGAGAGAGGGAGCCCAGAGUUGGAUUCUGAGACACGAAUCCAGGCCCUACGGGGCGCAGCAGUCGCGAAAACUUCACACUGGGGGCAACCCCGAUGAGGGAAAUCCUAGUGCUAGGACAUUUGUUCUAGCUUUUCUCAAGCGUAGAUAACUUGAGGAAUAAGGGCUGGGUAAGACGGGUGCCAGCCGCCGCGGUAAUACCUGCAGCCCAAGUGGUGGUCGAUUUUAUUGAGUCUAAAACGUUCGUAGCCGGUUUGGUAAAUCUUUGGGUAAAUCGGGAGGCUCAACUUUCCGACUUCCGAAGAGACUGUCAAACUUGGGACCGGGAGAGGCUAGAGGUACUUCUGGGGUAGGGGUAAAAUCCUGUAAUCCUAGAAGGACCACCGGUGGCGAAGGCGUCUAGCUAGAACGGAUCCGACGGUGAGGGACGAAGCCCUGGGUCGCAAACGGGAUUAGAUACCCCGGUAGUCCAGGGUGUAAACGCUGCCGACUUGGUGUUGGAGGCCCUUCGGGGGCAUUCAGUGCCGGAGAGAAGUUGUUAAGUCGGCUACUUGGGGAGUACGUCCGCAAGGAUGAAACUUAAAGGAAUUGGCGGGGGAGCAC